UGUAAGCGGGGAAUAACCCGUUGAAAGACGGACUAAUACCGCAUAUAAACUAAUUACUGCAUGGUAAUUUAUUUAAACAUUUAUGGCUUACAGAUGGGCAUGCGCAUGAUUAGCUAGUUGGAGAGGUAACGGCUCCCCAAGGCAACGAUCAUUAGGGGUUCUGAGAGGAAGGUCCCCCACACUGGUACUGAGACACGGACCAGACUCCUACGGGAGGCAGCAGUGAGGAAUAUUGGUCAAUGGACGAGAGUCUGAACCAGCCAAGUCGCGUGCAGGAAGAAUGUCCUAUGGAUUGUAAACUGUCUUUUGCAGGGGAAUAAAGUGCAUCACGUGUGAUGUUUUGUAUGUACUCUGCGAAUAAGGAUCGGCUAACUCCGUGCCAGCAGCUGC
This 390-nucleotide ribosomal RNA is filed under the name uncultured bacterium. RNAcentral describes it as "bacterial SSU rRNA". It matches the Rfam family "Bacterial small subunit ribosomal RNA", at positions 131 to 518 of the family's 1533-position model. The record is from RNAcentral.